Molecule: long non-coding RNA, 223 nt
Filed under: Brassica rapa (field mustard)
Lineage: Eukaryota; Viridiplantae; Streptophyta; Magnoliopsida; Brassicales; Brassicaceae
Description: long non-coding RNA (BRAP_LNC007971)
Source: RNAcentral
GAAUUAUUUCUCUAAUUUUCCUUAUCGCUUUCAGUAUUCUCCCCUAAAACGUUCCUAGCCAUUUUUAAUAUAAAAUAUUUUUUGACUAAAAGAUAAGUUGAAAAUUACAAUAUAGAAAACACAGCAUGAUGUAAAUAUCUACACUAGGCGAUAAAUCUUAUGGGACUAUAUAAACAAACAUGUUGAAUCUUGAAAACAUUGUGUAAUGGUUUUUGGAUAAGUC